AACCCAAACCCUAGAACAGGGGAUCACCACUUUUAGACUUAGAGACUAGGCUUAGACGGCUAGGGUUAGGGUUCUUACCCAGUAUCUUGUAGUCCUUGCUUGUUCUAUUCAGUAAAGAUCUCUUCAAGUCUCUUUCUCUUUUACUACUCUAAAACCCUUACGAAAUACCUAUAAAUCUUCUAAUAAAAUCAUCUUAUCCACCGUUCAGUAAUACUCACAAAGAU
RNAcentral lists this long non-coding RNA (224 nucleotides) under Brassica napus (rape). Its description in RNAcentral is "long non-coding RNA (BNAP_LNC015203)". The record is from RNAcentral. Lineage: Eukaryota; Viridiplantae; Streptophyta; Magnoliopsida; Brassicales; Brassicaceae.